UUCUCCGUAUUUACGUGCUUGUAACUCUGGCAUGACCUUUGUUCCAGUCUCUACCAGAGGGUGGUGCCUGGAUUGAAGUGGAAAAGCCGUUCUCCAGCCAUGACCCAGGGAGCAAGCACUGACUCCUCAGGGGAACAGGAGACCUGCCAACUAGGACCCUGGGAGCCUCCAUGCUGGCAGUGCCCUGGGUCAUCUCAGGCUCAUCAGCAAAUCCUGGGGGGAGAGCGGGGCUGGAGGGCGAAGAAACCCAGGAGAGUUCCUGGCUCAGAACCCCUCUCUGAGGCUCCCGAUACAGAGCCCAGGCCCCACACCCAGAGACUCUGAGUAUUUUUGUUUAUUGUAUGUAAAAUACUAGUGUAUUUUUGUUUAAGUCUCACGGGUAAACAGGUUCUCUCAUACUUUGCCAAGGGAAAUGUUAUCUGUGCAAUUUGGCAAUAACUAUCAGAAUUUUAAAAGCUUAUGCCCUUUGACCUAGUAAUUUCACUUCUAAGAAUUUCCCCUGCAGAGAUAUGUAUAUCUUGUAUGAAAUGAAGAGGCUAUGAAGACAGGCAACGCCACAGUGUUUAUAAUAGCAAAGACCGGACGCAACCCACAUGUCUAAAGGUUCUGAUUUUUAAAACUGUAGUAUAUCUGUACAAUGAGCACUCCACAUGCUUUAAGAAUGAGGAAGGGCUGUGUGAACUGAAAUGGAACUAUCUCUAAGAUGUAUUAAGUUAAAAAAACUCAAGAGUAGCACAGUGUGUAGGGUAUGCCAUCAUUUGUAUGAUAUAAGGUCGUAUAUCUGCCAUCUCAAAUGAGGAACAGUGGUUGACUCUGGGAAGGGAACUGGAUGGCUAGGAAUGGGGUAGGAAAGAGGUUUGCUUUUCAGAACAUUUUAUACCAUUUAAGUUUUGUAACAAGUGCAUCUAUAUUGACUUACAAGAUAAAAAAUGAAAAGGAAAGGCUCCGCUAGUGAUUCUGAUGCUCACAAAGAUUAAGAACCAAUGCGAAUGAGGAACUCCUGAGACCACCCAGGACAGAGUGAACAUAUCUCUUCAAAUAUCAAAAACCAUUCAGCAGAGGGUGAGAACACGUGCCCGGGGUACUAUUGUCAGACUCAUUUUACAGACAGGAAAAGCAAGGGAUAGAGAAGGUAAGUAACUUUUCCAAGGUCACAUGGCUAUUAAGUAGCAGAGCUGUGAUUCAAAUAUAAGCAGUUUGGCACCAGACCCUGUGCACUUAACUGCUUGCAUCUCAGUUGGGAGCACUGACUGGUUCAGCUAUUGGGAAGGAAGAAAGGGGAUGGCGAAGCCACAUAACCCCUAGGAGAUUCUGGAAUAAAUAUGCUUCAGAGCCAUUCACCUUGAAGCUGAGGAGGCAUGGAAGCAGGUCACCUGUGUUCUGUACAGCAUCACCAGGCUGGAAAUCUGCCAUGGCUUUCCUUCAUGCCAUUACAAUAGAGGAUACAGAUGAGGCUGCAGAGGCAUCUUGAUUUGAGAAAAGCAUUUGAUUGGAUCUCAUUAAAUUUUAAUCAUAAACUGAAUUCAAAAUAAAUUGAAAACUGGUUGACAGAGCACCAACAAAGGGUGAUGAUAAAUGGUGAUGCAUCUAGAGGGGAGCUAUCUUCCAGGGGACAACUCUAAGGCAAGGACGGAUGGGAUUUAAUGAAGGUGUUAUGUCCCCAGAAGAAGACAAAUAGCGCAGCAAGGAACAGAGGAAGGACAGGAGUGAGCAGCCUGAGUAAUUAAUAAACCAUAUUAACAGCUCCUCCAUAAUCAGGCCUUGGUGAUCACAACUGCUUGGAUUUUUUCUUAAGCUUUCUUUGAGUCAGGAAUAGGUUUGAAGAGUCCUGGAGACACACAGCAUGAAUAUUUCAGGUGGACAUUAAAAAGAAAUCUAUAAAUUUACAGCUGGGAGGAUCCUGAGAUCUACUUUGGAUCAGAAACUUUCAAUUACAAGAUUCCCAAGGCCUUACUUCAUUCCCCAGAGAGUAAUCUUUUUAAUAAAUGUCCAAAAGUCAUGGAUUUAAAAAAAAAUCUGUAAACUCAUUAAUGUCCUUUGUUUCCUGCCCAAAUGCAUGCAAACUUUAAUAACACUGGUUUGCUGAGUGGAAGGUUGGUUUUGAGUGAACUGUUUGGCUCAGAUUCAAACUCCAGUGAACAAAUACUUCCAAGUUUACUUGCAGAAUUUCCCAUACAGAGAAGUUCUUCCACUGGGCUUGCCAGAGGAUUUGAAACAGUGGCGAGCCCUGGAAGGAAGGGAACAUUUACUGGCCCUUGGACAUAAACCCAGCACAGUAAGACUCCAUCAGGCUGAAAGCAGUGCAGUAUGAACCGACCUGAUUUGAGGACGUUUGCUCUGGGACUCCUCUGAGCUACUAAAUGAGGAGGAGAAGGACUAAUGGGAACGCACUGACUCCUUCACAUUAGAAGUUAUAAUAAACAUUUAGAGAACAACCUCAAA
Molecule: long non-coding RNA, 2442 nt
Organism: Symphalangus syndactylus (siamang)
Lineage: Eukaryota; Metazoa; Chordata; Mammalia; Primates; Hylobatidae
Source: RefSeq, a predicted model, not a curated record